UACGUAGGAUGCAAGCGUUGUUCGGAAUUACUGGGCGUAAAGGGCUCGUAGGCGGCCAACUAAGUCAGACGUGAAAUCCCCAGGCUCAACCUGGGAACUGCGUCUGAUACUGGAUGGCUUGAAUCCGGGAGAGGGAUGCAGAAUUCCAGGUGUAGCGGUGAAAUGCGUAGAUAUCUGGAGGAAUACCGGUGGCGAAGGCGGCAUCCUGGACCGGCAUUGACGCUGAGGCGCGAAAGCUAGGGGAGCAAACGGG
RNAcentral lists this ribosomal RNA (253 nucleotides) under uncultured bacterium. Its description in RNAcentral is "partial 16S ribosomal RNA". It matches the Rfam family "Bacterial small subunit ribosomal RNA", at positions 524 to 776 of the family's 1533-position model. The record is from RNAcentral.